UACUGGUGUUAUUGGUCAUGGAAAACUAUUUUACCUGCGUUAAAGUGUACUGUAUUUUUUUGGUCAGGGGCCUUGAGUGUUGUCAGUCAGCCCCUGCAUCUCAAAUAAAAAAGGAACUCAAUAAGCUGUUAGUGUUUGUUAUUUUAGUCCGACAGUGCAGCUCAUUCUUAUGUGCAGCACAAGCUGUGUGUUUAGUUUUUUUUUUUUUUUUUUUAUGUCUUUGUUGGUUUUUAUCCAGGUGGGUCCUUUCAACUUUCAGCCAACCCUAAGUGCACUGGACAGUGUAGCCAUUUACUUCCAUGCAGUAGGAGUUAUUGUCUUCCGGGGGGAGUUACUGUCUCCCUGCUUCUCCACAACUCCUAUAGAGAGGAAGGACUGUCAUUACUGCCAAGGAGAACUAAGAGAGGGAGCUGCAAAAACGUCCACCUAUCAUUGAACCACAGAUAGAAUAAUUGUUCCAUUAGCCAAUAUGGCUGACAAACAACUACAUCCUGUUCUAGAAGAUAAAGUUAGUUGUCUGGAUUGCAAACUGUAAUUUCUCUGGCAUUGGCGGCCCCCAUGAACAUCUCAAGCAACCACAUUCUGGCACAGCUCCCAUAGGCUGACUGUUUUCUUAAGAUUAUAGAGAAAAACAAAUCACAACAGUGGGUUAGACAUUGAAGUAAAUCCUUCACUCUGUUUAAGAAUCUAAAAAGAAAUGCUGGCCUUGGUUCUUAAUUCAGACAUGUCAUUAAAUAGCCAUUAUUAGGAGGCUGAAAAAAGCAGUCCUGGCACUAGUCAAAGAGUGAGUCUUAUUCUGCUCUGUUCAAGCUCUGUUUUGGGUAUUGCAAUUGCCAGAAAUAGCUGAGGACAAGCACGUGGCUGUGCUUGACUAAAGAAAUACCCA
Hyla sarda is the source of this 886-nucleotide long non-coding RNA. RefSeq lists it as uncharacterized. The record is from RefSeq and is a predicted model, not a curated record. The transcript has 3 exons. Lineage: Eukaryota; Metazoa; Chordata; Amphibia; Anura; Hylidae.